RNAcentral lists this ribosomal RNA (503 nucleotides) under Hepatozoon sp. Its description in RNAcentral is "SSU rRNA". It matches the Rfam family "Eukaryotic small subunit ribosomal RNA", at positions 357 to 853 of the family's 1831-position model. The record is from RNAcentral. Lineage: Eukaryota; Apicomplexa; Hepatozoidae.
GGUUAACGGGGGAUUAGGGUUCGAUUCCGGAGAGGGAGCCUGAGAAACGGCUACCACAUCUAAGGAAGGCAGCAGGCGCGCAAAUUACCCAAUUCUAACAGUUUGAGAGAGGUAGUAACAAGAAAUAACAAUACAAGGCAAUUAAAAUGCUUUGUAAUUGGAAUGAUAGAAAUUUAAACCCUUUUUAAAGUAUCAAUUGGAGGGCAAGUCUGGUGCCAGCAGCCGCGGUAAUUCCAGCUCCAAUAGCGUAUAUUAAAAUUGUUGCAGUUAAAAAGCUCGUAGUUGAAGUUCUGCUAAAAGUAGCCGGUCUGCUUUUUAUAAAAGUGGUAUCUUGGUGUGUUUUUAGCAAUGAUGUCCUUUGAAGUGUUUUUUACUUUAUUGUAAUAAAACAUGUUCAGGACUUUUACUUUGAGAAAAUUAGAGUGUUUCUAGCAAGCUGAUGCUUUGAAUACUGCAGCAUGGAAUAAUAAGAUAGGAUUUUAGUUCUACAUUAUUGGUUUUAA